RNAcentral lists this ribosomal RNA (422 nucleotides) under uncultured Actinomycetes bacterium. RNAcentral's name for it is "bacterial SSU rRNA". It matches the Rfam family "Bacterial small subunit ribosomal RNA", at positions 608 to 1029 of the family's 1533-position model. The record is from RNAcentral. Lineage: Bacteria; Bacillati; Actinomycetota; Actinomycetes.
CUCAACCUCGAGACGCCGAUGGAAACCGACUGGCUAGAGUCCGGAAGAGGAGAGUGGAAUUCCCGGUGUAGCGGUGAAAUGCGCAGAUAUCGGGAAGAACACCCGUGGCUAAGGCGGCUCUCUAGUACGGUACUGACGCUGAGACGCGAAAGCGUGGGGAGCGAACAGGAUUAGAUACCCUGGUAGUCCACGCCGUAAACGAUGGGUGCUAGGUGUGGGAGGUGUCGACUCCUCCCGUGCCGAAGCUAACGCAUUAAGCACCCCGCCUGGGGAGUACGGCCGCAAGGCUAAAACUCAAAGGAAUUGACGGGGGCCCGCACAAGCAGCGGAGCAUGUGGUUUAAUUCGACGCAACGCGAAGAACCUUACCUAGGCUUGACAUGCACGGGAAUGUCGUGGAAACACGGCAGCCCUUCGGGGCUC